UGAUCCUGAAAAUAUUGAGAUUCUAUCAAAAAGUUCUAGCGGUUAUGAAAAAAGUUCUCUAUAUUUCCCUAUGAAAAAUGCUUUAGGUGAUGGAUUAUUUACUGCACCAGCAUCAAUAUGGGACAUUCAUCGAACAAUCUUAAAUCCAGUAUUCAAAGAAGUUUCGACUUAUAUGGACUCAAUGAUAAAAAAUCAAACAGACUAGCUAAUAUUUUAGAAACUACAAACGGAAAAAACGUAGACAUUAUGCAUUACGUACAUUUAUGUACGCUGG
This 274-nucleotide long non-coding RNA is filed under the name Polistes fuscatus (common paper wasp). RNAcentral describes it as "uncharacterized LOC122517692". The record is from RNAcentral. Lineage: Eukaryota; Metazoa; Arthropoda; Insecta; Hymenoptera; Vespidae.